GGUGAUACUUCUGAGUAUGAAACAAUCCAGCCAGCCUCUAACAAUAGGAGGCCUGUUAACCCAGAGGACGAUCACAUUUACACAAAUUUGAACAACAGAAAACAAAGAAUCCAUUGAAUGCUAAAAGUCACUAUAGUGAGAAGAAAACAACAAGGAAAGUGGAAUCCUGCUGCAGUUUAUUCUGAAAUCUGAUCAGGAAUGAUUUCAAAAUGCCUGUCAGCUUUCUGGUGGUUCAGAUUGAACUGAACUGAGUUUUUAUAAUAGCAACAUAAAAAAAAAAUCCCACAUCCUCAAAUGUUUCUAACGUUCUUUAAAAAUGCAGCACUUCUCAUGUUUAUAGCUGUUCUCUGAACAAGAAAAUCCAUUUCUAUGCUUUGUGUAAAGAUAUAUUAUUAGCACUGUUUAUUUUAUUUGCAUCCAGAAAAAAAACAUAUUCCUUAGAUAUAAAAAUAUUUUUAUGUAUU
This is a long non-coding RNA of Poecilia latipinna (sailfin molly), 464 nucleotides long. RefSeq lists it as uncharacterized. The record is from RefSeq and is a predicted model, not a curated record. Lineage: Eukaryota; Metazoa; Chordata; Actinopteri; Cyprinodontiformes; Poeciliidae. The transcript has 4 exons.